UACGUAGGGGGCGAGCGUUGUCCGGAAUUAUUGGGCGUAGAGGGCGUGCAGGCGGCUUCUUAAGUCUGAUGUGAAAGCCCGUGGCUUAACCACGGAGGUGCAUUGGAAACUGAGGAGCUUGAGUGCAGGAGAGGAGAGCGGAAUUCCACGUGUAGCGGUGAAAUGCGUAGAUAUGUGGAGGAACACCAGUGGCGAAAGCGGCUCUCUGGCCUGCGACUGACGCUGAGGCGCGAAAGCGUGGGGAGCGAACAGG
RNAcentral lists this unclassified non-coding RNA (253 nucleotides) under uncultured Bacillaceae bacterium. RNAcentral's name for it is "contains 16S-23S intergenic spacer region". It matches the Rfam family "Bacterial small subunit ribosomal RNA", at positions 524 to 776 of the family's 1533-position model. Lineage: Bacteria; Bacillati; Bacillota; Bacilli; Caryophanales; Bacillaceae. The record is from RNAcentral.